AUUGAACGCUGGCGGCAUGCUUUACACAUGCAAGUCGAACGGCAGCGCGGGCUUCGGCCUGGCGGCGAGUGGCGAACGGGUGAGUAAUGCAUCGGAACGUGCCCAGUAGUGGGGGAUAGCCCGGCGAAAGCCGGAUUAAUACCGCAUACGACCUGAGGGUGAAAGCGGGGGACCGAAAGGCCUCGCGCUAUUGGAGCGGCCGAUGUCGGAUUAGCUAGUUGGUGGGGUAAAGGCUUACCAAGGCGACGAUCCGUAGCUGGUCUGAGAGGACGACCAGCCACACUGGGACUGAGACACGGCCCAGACUCCUACGGGAGGCAGCAGUGGGGAAUUUUGGACAAUGGGGGCAACCCUGAUCCAGCCAGGCCGCGUGCGGGAAGAAGGCCUUCGGGUUGUAAACCGCUUUUGUUCGGGAAGAAAUCCUCUGGGCUAAUACCCCGGGGGGAUGACGGUACCGGAAGAAUAAGCACCGGCUAACUACGUGC
Molecule: ribosomal RNA, 485 nt
Filed under: uncultured bacterium
Lineage: Bacteria
Description: partial 16S ribosomal RNA
Rfam family: Bacterial small subunit ribosomal RNA
Source: RNAcentral